GCUUGCAGGAACUAGAAGUGGGAACCAGGAAAAAGCAGGGUCCUGGGAUGACCAGGGGCCCUUCUUCCAAAGAUGGAGAAAUACAUGGAGAAAUGAAGGGCUACCUCUCUCCCUUUGACAAGAUGCCGUCUCCUAAGGACCAGUUUGCAUGUUCUCUCCCUCUCCUGUGACCAGUCUCCCAAGGAAAACAAGCAUUGGGCGUUUUUCUAAUGGCUACACAAACUAGUCAUGCCUUCCAUGGCCAAGAUAAAACAUUUCUGGAAAAUCGCUGCAUGAGGAGGUACAACGACGGAGAUCCGAAGAAGCAACUGAACCAGAAGAAUAUCAAUGCACUUGGCCAAAAUCUAGACGAUGGACUACUAGUUACACACGUUAACCAGACACAGGACUUACUGAGGCUGCAGGGAGAUGAGACCCAGCCUUCAGCCUGCGAAGACUCGGAAGAUUGGCUUUCAACACACAGUUUAAAGUCUGAGAAACUCACCUUGGCUGAUCUGAUGAGCCAGGGGACAGCUGUGCUGGAGGAGGGCAGCAAGGUCAUGAGGAAAAUGCACUUCUCCACCUCGACCAUCCACCGGUUCGAAUCCAAGCUUUCUGAAGCUAUUGAAGUCUAUCAACAGAGGAUUCAGUGGCUCACAGAAAACAGCAAGAAGGCUUUCGGCCUCAUCAAGGGGACCAGAGUCGGCAUCCUCACUGAUGUGUCAGCCGUCAGCAGUGGCCCUCAGAAAGAGGAGUUCCAAAAUGACCUCCUGAGCCUCAUUGAUGAGCAGCUGAGCCACAAGGAGAAGCUGUACGUCCUGUCCUUUGGCACCACCACCAGCGCCCUCUGGCCUGACCCCAUGGACGUCAGCACCUCUACCCUUCAGGAACUCAAGCUCUGGGUAAAGAAACUUGAGCCCGAGGGAGGCAGCAAUCUGCUACAAGCCCUGAAGAAAGUCUUCACUCUGAAGGGGCUGAAUUCUCUGGUGACCAUUAUGGGAAGCUGCCCAGAUCAGCCUUCUGAAAUCCUGUCCGACUACAUCCAACAGUCCGCCAUGGGAAGGGACCUCAUCACCCAUUUCAUCACCUACAAGUGCGACGAGCAGGUGCCCCCUGCUGUUCUGAAGAACCUUGCAGAAGCUCUUGGGGGCUACUACCACUGCUAUGGUCCAGAGAUGGAGAUCUGCGCCAGCCGGGAGGUGGAUGAGCUCCUGGCAGAAAUCCAGAAAGCCCAGAGCCUCCGGAGCCACGUCCAAGCCCUGCAGCAGAGCUCCCCCUGCGAGGAGCCGGCCGGCGGGAGGCAGGAGAUUUCCAACGAGAUUGCAAAAAGGCCAUUCACAAGUCUCUUGCCUAAACCCCCGAAGCAUGAGGCUCCCCUCACAAUUGAGUUCCCAAACUUGGCCAAGACUUCUGCAGAAUGGCUGAAGACCAACAGCCUGAAAGCCAAGAAGCUAAGCCUCUAUCAGGUUCUGGCCCCCAAUGCAUUCUCUCCCGUGGAGGAAUUUGUGCCUAUUCUCCGGAAGACAGUCUCAUCCACUAUCUAUGAGAAGGCAAUGGUACAAUUUGAAUGGCAUGACGGGACGGUGAAGAACAUUCACGUGGAUCUUCCCUUCCUAUAUGAGUACCAGAAACAGCUCAGCAGAGCUAUGCAGAUGUAUGAGAGACGGAUGGAGUGGCUCUCCUUGGCCAGCAGAAGAAUCUGGGGCACCGUCUGCGAAAAAAGGGUGGUUAUACUGCUCGAUAUCUCCGUGACCAAUUCCGUGUACAUUAUUCAUAUCCAGCACUCCCUGCGGCUUCUGCUGGAGGAGCAACUGGCCAACAAGGACUGCUUCAACAUCGUGGCGUUUGGAAGCACAGUUGAAAGUUGGAGGCCAGAGAUGGUUGCCGCCAGCCAUGACAACUUACAGAGCGCCUGGAGGUGGGUCCUGACCCUGCAGUGUCGGGGCAGCAGGAACGUCCUCAGCGCCCUGCGGAAGGCUGUCGAAGUGGACUUCAAGGACAAAGACAAACAGCAAUCGCAAGGCAUCUACCUCUUCACAGGGGGCAUCCCUGACCAGGACACGCCCAUGCUCAGUGCCUACAUGGCCGAGGCCUGCGGGGGCUGCGACUUCCAGCUGAACGUGUGUCUCUUCUACGUGGACGAGUCACAGACGGGCAACACGCCCCCCGCCUGCUAUGCCAGCUGCACUGACACGGCCGCCGCCUACCGGGAGGUCGCCCGGGCUGCUGGUGGCCGCUUCCACUGGUUUGGAGACACAGGUAUCUACGAAAGUGAUGACAUCAGUGCCAUCGUGUCUGAGAUGGAAAAGGCUCUCAGCUACUCCCAGAAGUGCGCCUUGCUCGUGUCCUCCCUGAAGAACCAGUCUGGAAAAGAACAGGAAAAUGCAGCCCUCCUGAGAGAAAAGCCAAAGAUGCUCAAGCCAAGAAGCCAGCCCAGGAAGCUCUGUCCCUCCAAACCCACAGCACCCUCGGUGGCCAGAAUGAGCAUGAAAGAUGACCCUGACCGACAGAAGAGUGCCCCUGUGAAAGCUCUGAUGUGGCGUCCACUCAGUGGCAAAGCAGGCGUCCCCCCAGCUGCAGCCCAGCCGGUGAAAGAAGGGACAGCAGGGCGGAGGAGGAAGACCACAGCUAGGGACGCAGAGGCAUCUCUCUCGCUGUUUUAUACCGAGAUGGGGAAUAACGUGGGAUCCGUGUACAGGAAGUAUCCUCAAGGAAGGGGCUUAAGAAGAACUAGCUCUUCUAUCGAGUUGCCCAGAAAGGAUACAAUCUGCUCAAGCCAAGAGUGGAUAGCAAAUUAUGGGCUGAAAAAACUGAAGAUGGAGAUCUCCAGAUACCUUGGUCCCAACUGCACUCAUCAAAAGUCCGUACAGAGAUCAGCAUCAGCCAAGCACUGCAGCGUCUUCCCCAGCACGGAGAUCAAUGGGAUGGUGAGACACAUUCAGUGUACGCCCAGGGAAAUGGACGCGUACAUCACAGGCCUGGAGAAGCUGAUGCGGCGCUAUGUCCAGAGGCUGCAGUGGCUGCUGUCUGGUGAGCCCGCCUGCUGUACUGGAGGGCAGAGGGGCCGGAGGGGAAGUGGAAGGUCAACCCCAGGACCCCGUGAUCCGUCCUUCCAAAGCCUCUGGAGGGGGUGUGGCUGUCAGGUCAGAGGCUGAGGUCAGGCAAGGAGGCUGAAUACAUUCCCCAUUCCUGACUCACACUUCCUGCCCGGAAGAGGGUGAAGGCCGGUCCUGCAGCCGCUCCUUUUUUUGGUACAAAUCGAACCCCGACCUCACAUACAGUUACACCCCCAACUCCAUCUAAUACUUCAAAACGUACCCAGGGGAUGCUGCACUGAUUCACUCUGAUUGUUCAACUAAUGAAUGUUUUUCCCCUGCUCGGGGCUGCAGAGGUGGUAGAGGAAGCACCUGGCACGGUCCCUGAGCUCAUGGGGGACACAGAUGUUAGGCAAAGAGCACCCAUGCAAGUGUUGGGAGGAGACGGGUGUGAUGCUGAGAGAGGGGCAGUGGGCCUGUGCUGGGAGGUCACAGAGGGCUUCCCCGAGGAGCCGAGACGUGGGGCAUGAACAGAUGUUACCUGAGCAGAGAAAGGAAAGAUGCUCAGGGCACAACUGAGCGGGAGGGAGCUGAGCACAAGGACUAAAAGGAAGCCAGUGUGGCUGAGAGUAAAGGAAGCGGCCAUGCUAGGGAGGUGAGCCAUGGCCUGGACUUUGUCCUUUAUCCUAAGAGCAAUGGGAAGCCACUAAAUGGUUUUAAAAGGGGGGAAGUGAUCAAGUUAGCAUCGGCAACAAUCUCUCUGGUUGCUGCGUGGAGUAUAAAUUGUUGAGGGGAUGGAGUGGAAUCAGGGCAACCUAGGAGGGGUCUGGGGCAAGGAUCAGGACAGCUGGAAGGGUAGUGGUGAUGCCCACGGACAAAGAAGGCAGGAUAAGACUCAGGAGGCAGAAACGACAGGGCUUGGUGGCUGGCAGUGUGUCUCCGCUGUCUGGUUCCCAGGAUGGAUCAGCUGGCCUUUUGGGUGGGAACCUCUUGGCCAACUGGCUGGCUGGCUGGCUGUCCUCUCGGAACAUCCCCCGCGCCUCAGGACAGCUCCCCUCCUGUCCUCAGGUUGACGUGAGCAUUGCCAGGGAACACCACAGGGAGCCGCCGACUGUUCGGUAUCAUCUUGGAGAGCAAAGUGUGCAUCCUGCUCGACACGUCGGGC
RNA transcript from Camelus dromedarius (Arabian camel), 4179 nucleotides. It is a transcript of the gene named von Willebrand factor A domain containing 3A, with no coding region annotated. Lineage: Eukaryota; Metazoa; Chordata; Mammalia; Artiodactyla; Camelidae. The record is from RefSeq and is a predicted model, not a curated record. The transcript is spliced from 29 exons.